GGGGGUGUGGCUCAGUGGUAGAGCGCUCACCUGGAAUGCAUGAGGUCCUGGGUUCGAUCCUCAGCACCACAC
Ictidomys tridecemlineatus (thirteen-lined ground squirrel) is the source of this 72-nucleotide non-coding RNA. Lineage: Eukaryota; Metazoa; Chordata; Mammalia; Rodentia; Sciuridae. The record is from Rfam.